This 229-nucleotide ribosomal RNA is filed under the name uncultured bacterium. RNAcentral's name for it is "partial 16S ribosomal RNA". It matches the Rfam family "Bacterial small subunit ribosomal RNA", at positions 568 to 796 of the family's 1533-position model. The record is from RNAcentral.
UAUGUAGGUGUCCUGAUGAGUCGAAUGUGAAAUCCCUUGGCUUAACCAAGGAACUGCAUUCGAUACUGUCAGGAUUGAGUAUGGAAGAGGAGAGUGGAAUUCCCGGUGUAAGGGUGAAAUCUGUAGAUAUCGGGAGGAACACCAGUGGCGAAAGCGGCUCUCUGGUCCAAUACUGACACUGAAAUACGAAAGCAAGGGGAGCAAACAGGAUUAGAUACCCUGGUAGUCC